Molecule: transfer RNA, 75 nt
Filed under: Planctomycetota bacterium
Lineage: Bacteria; Pseudomonadati; Planctomycetota
Description: Planctomycetes bacterium (bioreactor metagenome) tRNA-Arg
Rfam family: tRNA
About the family: Transfer RNA (tRNA) molecules are approximately 80 nucleotides in length. Their secondary structure includes four short double-helical elements and three loops (D, anti-codon, and T loops).
Source: RNAcentral
GCGCCCGUAGUUCAGCGGAAGAGCAUCGGUCUUCGGAACCGAGGGUCGCAGGUUCGAAUCCUGCCGGGCGUGCCA